RNAcentral lists this ribosomal RNA (506 nucleotides) under uncultured bacterium. RNAcentral describes it as "partial 16S ribosomal RNA". It matches the Rfam family "Bacterial small subunit ribosomal RNA", at positions 29 to 523 of the family's 1533-position model. The record is from RNAcentral.
AGUGAACGCUGGCGGUAGGCCUAACACAUGCAAGUCGAACGGCAGCACAGGAGAGCUUGCUCUCUGGGUGGCGAGUGGCGGACGGGUGAGGAAUACAUCGGAAUCUACUUUUUCGUGGGGGAUAACGUAGGGAAACUUACGCUAAUACCGCAUACGACCUACGGGUGAAAGCAGGGGAUCUUCGGACCUUGCGCGAUUGAAUGAGCCGAUGUCGGAUUAGCUAGUUGGCGGGGUAAAGGCCCACCAAGGCGACGAUCCGUAGCUGGUCUGGGAGGACGAUCAGCCACACUGGAACUGAGACGCGGUCCAGACUCUUACGGGAGGCAGCAGUGGGGAAUAUUGGACAAUGGGCGCAAGCCUGAUCCAGCCAUACCGAGUGGGUGAAGAAGGCCUUCGGGUUGUAAAGCCCUUUUGUUGGGAAAGAAAUCCAGCUGGUUAAUACCCGGUUGGGAUGACGGUACCCAAAGAAUAAGCACCGGCUAACUUCGUGCCAGCAGCCGCCGUAA